This 562-nucleotide ribosomal RNA is filed under the name uncultured bacterium. Its description in RNAcentral is "bacterial SSU rRNA". It matches the Rfam family "Bacterial small subunit ribosomal RNA", at positions 338 to 916 of the family's 1533-position model. The record is from RNAcentral.
CCUACGGGAGGCAGCAGUGGGGAAUAUUGGACAAUGGGCGAAAGCCUGAUCCAGCAAUGCCGCGUGAGUGAUGAAGGCCUUAGGGUUGUAAAGCUCUUUUACCAGGGAUGAUAAUGACAGUACCUGGAGAAUAAGCUCCGGCUAACUCCGUGCCAGCAGCCGCGGUAAUACGGAGGGAGCUAGCGUUGUUCGGAAUUACUGGGCGUAAAGCGUACGUAGGCGGUUAUUCAAGUCAGAGGUGAAAGCCUGGAGCUCAACUCCAGAACUGCCUUUGAAACUAGAUAGCUAGAAUCUUGGAGAGGUGAGUGGAAUUCCGAGUGUAGAGGUGAAAUUCGUAGAUAUUCGGAAGAACACCAGUGGCGAAGGCGACUCACUGGACAAGUAUUGACGCUGAGGUACGAAAGCGUGGGGAGCAAACAGGAUUAGAUACCCUGGUAGUCCACGCCGUAAACGAUGAUAACUAGCUGUUCGGGCUCUACGAGCUUGAGUGGCGCAGCUAACGCAUUAAGUUAUCCGCCUGGGGAGUACGGUCGCAAGAUUAAAACUUAAAAUGAAUUGACGG